RNAcentral lists this ribosomal RNA (253 nucleotides) under uncultured bacterium. Its description in RNAcentral is "partial 16S ribosomal RNA". It matches the Rfam family "Bacterial small subunit ribosomal RNA", at positions 524 to 776 of the family's 1533-position model. The record is from RNAcentral.
UACAGAGGUCUCAAGCGUUGUUCGGAUUCAUUGGGCGUAAAGGGUGCGUAGGCGGCGCGGUAAGUCGGGUGUGAAAUCUCGGAGCUUAACUCCGAAACUGCAUUCGAUACUGCCGUGCUUGAGGACUGGAGAGGAGACUGGAAUUUACGGUGUAGCGGUGAAAUGCGUAGAUAUCAGGAAGAACACCAAUGGCGAAAGCAGCUCUCUGGGACGGUACUGACGCUGAGACGCGAAAGCGUGGGGAGCGAACAGG